AAAUAGAACUUUGCAGAGAGAGUUAACAGGGCGUGAAACCGUUAAUUGGCAAACGAAUCGGAGCCACGAAGUCGUUUCGUUGUUUAGUCUGGACUGGGCUCAGCCUGGGAGAGAUCCCGGGUGUAUUCCCGUGUCUGACCAAACUUUGUAAGCGUACACUGCAACCAGUUAGACGAUUGGCCAUGGAGCUAGUUACUCAAGUUAGUAGUAGUGCUCAUGUGUUUCGGCGCUUGGGUGUUGCUGGACUUGUGGUAAGUGAACUAUGGCCAAAUACUGACUGGCAAAAUGAAAAUCGCUUCUACGCGUAACAAACAACGCUGCUAGCAGUACAAUUAACUACACAUUCAGCUGCCGGGUCUAAGCUCAGCAUUUUUAAAUUCAGACCUGCUUGUUACCAGUGGGGAAACCCCUGGUGCUUGUAUGGCUUUGUCUAAUUGGAUGUUGACUUGAUCAGGUAUCGUCUGUGAUGUGCUACGAUUGGUUGAUUGUAUUAGUCAGUUGGCAAGAAUUGGCAGUGAGUAGGUCGGCUUUCCGAACGACCCGUCUUGAAACACGGACCAAGGAGUCUAAUUAGGCAUCGAGUCGAUCGGUCUUGAAUAGGCCAGACUGGAGAACUUUUUCCGAUUGAAGGCGUAGAGACAUGUGAUCGGGCGGGCAUCAACAGUCCCCAUGCGCAACAUGUGCCUGUUCGUAUGGCAAUGUGCGCAUUAGUUGCUGAGCGGAGUCAGGAGAUGCCUGAUUGGGACCCGAAAGAUGGUGAUGCUUGGGCAAAUUGAAGCCAGAGGAAACUCUGGUGGAGGAUUUAGCUGACGUGCAAAUCGAUCGUCAGACCUGAGUAUAGGGGCGAAAGACUAAUCGAACCAUC
RNAcentral lists this ribosomal RNA (865 nucleotides) under Aceria lespedezae. RNAcentral describes it as "partial large subunit ribosomal RNA". It matches the Rfam family "Eukaryotic large subunit ribosomal RNA", at positions 366 to 944 of the family's 3401-position model. The record is from RNAcentral. Lineage: Eukaryota; Metazoa; Arthropoda; Arachnida; Trombidiformes; Eriophyidae.